Non-coding RNA from Pelobates cultripes (western spadefoot toad), 258 nucleotides. Lineage: Eukaryota; Metazoa; Chordata; Amphibia; Anura; Pelobatidae. The record is from the annotation of a GenBank genome assembly.
CACAUAUGUAGGCACCUUUACGGCACUUGAUAAAGCUCAGGCCAACAUGAAACAUUUUUGUGGGGCUGGCAGAUAUCGGAGCCGUGUGCCCGGCCGAGCACCCCGGGGUUCAUACCGGGGUUACCGAGGCCACAUACAGUCCAGGUUUACAACACCUAAACCCAGAACUACCACACCGUUCUUCCCAGUCCGGGGCAGACCAUGGCAGUCUCGGGGACCCAGAGGUUCUUCCUAUGGCCGACGACCUUAUGGUAAGUU